Non-coding RNA from Ameiurus melas (black bullhead), 73 nucleotides. The record is from the annotation of a GenBank genome assembly. NCBI's taxonomy places the organism in Eukaryota, Metazoa, Chordata, Actinopteri, Siluriformes, Ictaluridae.
GGCUGUAUUGGGUGCACGGUAGCACGUUCGCUUCACACCUCCAGGGUCGGGGGUUCGAUUCCCACCAGAGCCG